This 253-nucleotide ribosomal RNA is filed under the name uncultured bacterium. Its description in RNAcentral is "partial 16S ribosomal RNA". It matches the Rfam family "Bacterial small subunit ribosomal RNA", at positions 524 to 776 of the family's 1533-position model. The record is from RNAcentral.
UACGUAGGGUGCGAGCGUUAAUCGGAAUUACUGGGCGUAAAGCGUGCGCAGGCGGUCCGCAAAGUCUGAUGUGAAAGCCCACGGCUCAACCGUGGAGGGUCAUUGGAAACUGGGGGACUUGAGUGCAGGAGAGAAGAGUGGAAUUCCCGGUGUAGCAGUGAAAUGCGUAGAGAUCGGGAGGAACAUCAGUUGCGAAGGCGGCUCUCUGGACCAGCACUGACACUGAGGCACGAAAGCGUGGGGAGCAAACAGG